UACGUAGGGCGCAAGCGUUGUCCGGAUUCACUGGGUGUAAAGGGUGCGCAGGCGGGAAAGUAAGUUAGAGGUGAAAUCUCACAGCUCAACUGUGAAACGGCCUUUGAUACUGCUUUUCUUGAGUUAGGGAGAGGUUGAUGGAAUUCCAGGUGUAGCGGUGAAAUGCGUAGAUAUCUGGAAGAACACCGGUGGCGAAGGCGGUCAACUGGCCCUAACCUGACGCUCAGGCACGAAAGCAUGGGGAUCAAACAGG
RNAcentral lists this ribosomal RNA (253 nucleotides) under uncultured bacterium. RNAcentral describes it as "partial 16S ribosomal RNA". It matches the Rfam family "Bacterial small subunit ribosomal RNA", at positions 524 to 776 of the family's 1533-position model. The record is from RNAcentral.